RNAcentral lists this ribosomal RNA (1000 nucleotides) under uncultured bacterium. Its description in RNAcentral is "bacterial SSU rRNA". It matches the Rfam family "Bacterial small subunit ribosomal RNA", at positions 355 to 1375 of the family's 1533-position model. The record is from RNAcentral.
UGGGGGAUAUUGCGCAAUGGGGGCAACCCUGACGCAGCAACGCCGCGUGAAGGAUGAAGGUUUUCGGAUUGUAAACUUCUUUUAUUAAGGACGAAAAUUGACGGUACUUAAUGAAUAAGCUCCGGCUAACUACGUGCCAGCAGCCGCGGUAAUACGUAGGGAGCAAGCGUUGUCCGGAUUUACUGGGUGUAAAGGGUGCGUAGGCGGCUUUGCAAGUCAGAUGUGAAAUCUAUGGGCUCAACCCAUAAACUGCAUUUGAAACUGUAGAGCUUGAGUGAAGUAGAGGCAGGCGGAAUUCCCCGUGUAGCGGUGAAAUGCGUAGAGAUGGGGAGGAACACCAGUGGCGAAGGCGGCCUGCUGGGCUUUAACUGACGCUGAGGCACGAAAGCGUGGGUAGCAAACAGGAUUAGAUACCCUGGUAGUCCACGCUGUAAACGAUGAUUACUAGGUGUGGGGGGUCUGACCCCUUCCGUGCCGGAGUUAACACAAUAAGUAAUCCACCUGGGGAGUACGGCCGCAAGGUUGAAACUCAAAGGAAUUGACGGGGGCCCGCACAAGCAGUGGAGUAUGUGGUUUAAUUCGAAGCAACGCGAAGAACCUUACCAGGUCUUGACAUCCAACUAACGAAGUAGAGAUACAUUAGGUGCCUUUCGGGGAAAGUUGAGACAGGUGGUGCAUGGUUGUCGUCAGCUCGUGUCGUGAGAUGUUGGGUUAAGUCCCGCAACGAGCGCAACCCUUACUGUUAGUUGCUACGCAAGAGCACUCUAGCAGGACUGCCGUUGACAAAACGGAGGAAGGUGGGGAUGACGUCAAAUCAUCAUGCCCCUUAUGACCUGGGCCUCACACGUACUACAAUGGCUGUCAACAGAGGGAAGCAAAGCCGCGAGGUGGAGCGAACCCCUAAAAGCAGUCUUAGUUCGGAUUGUAGGCUGCAACCCGCCUACAUGAAGUCGGAAUUGCUAGUAAUCGCAGAUCAGCAUGCUGCGGUGAAUACGUUCCC